GAAGACCAAGGGUUCCUGUCCAACGUUAAUCGGGGCAGGGUAAGUCGACCCCUAAGGCGAGGCCGAAAGGCGUAGUCGAUGGGAAACGGGUUAAUAUUCCCGUACUUCUUACAAUUGCGAUGGGGGGGACGGAGAAGGCUAGGUGGGCCUGGCGACGGUUGUCCAGGUUCAAGUGCGUAGGCUUAAGAGUUAGGUAAAUCCGGCUCUUUUUAAGGCUGAGACACGACGUCGAGC
RNAcentral lists this ribosomal RNA (234 nucleotides) under Vibrio parahaemolyticus. RNAcentral's name for it is "partial 23S ribosomal RNA". It matches the Rfam family "Bacterial large subunit ribosomal RNA", at positions 1341 to 1574 of the family's 2925-position model. The record is from RNAcentral. Lineage: Bacteria; Pseudomonadati; Pseudomonadota; Gammaproteobacteria; Vibrionales; Vibrionaceae.